Molecule: ribosomal RNA, 253 nt
Filed under: Acidibacter sp.
Lineage: Bacteria; Pseudomonadati; Pseudomonadota; Gammaproteobacteria
Also listed under: 1 other name
Description: partial 16S ribosomal RNA
Rfam family: Bacterial small subunit ribosomal RNA
Source: RNAcentral
UACAGAGGGUGCAAGCGUUAAUCGGAAUUACUGGGCGUAAAGCGUGCGUAGACGGUUAUUUAAGUCAGGUGUGAAAGCCCAGGGCUCAACCUUGGAAUUGCAUUUGAGACUGAAUAGCUAGGGUGCGGAAGAGGGAAGCGGAAUUUCCGGUGUAGCGGUGAAAUGCGUAGAUAUCGGAAGGAACACCAGUGGCGAAAGCGGCUUCCUGGUCCAGCACCGACGUUCAGGCACGAAAGCGUGGGGAGCAAACAGG